RNAcentral lists this long non-coding RNA (1171 nucleotides) under Canis lupus familiaris (dog). Its description in RNAcentral is "lncRNA (ENSCAFG00000050363.1)". Lineage: Eukaryota; Metazoa; Chordata; Mammalia; Carnivora; Canidae. The record is from RNAcentral.
UGAAAGCAGAGGCUGGGCUGGCCAGGGAGAAACAAUGGUCAUUUGUGAAGGAGAGGAUGCUGGGAGCUCUGUGUCUCUGUAACAGGUGGCAAAACCAUGUUCACCUAUAAGGCUUCAAACCUUUGUUUAGUGAAAUGAAGUGUUAGCAAACCCAGAGAGAGUUUUUAAGAGCUUAUGCAUCCAUCAGAACCAGAGCCACAGAGUGGGAAGAGAACCACAAGACAUUUCCACAAAUACCUGUGGCUUUGUGAAUAGGAGUGAAAUGAGGCUCAGCGGCCUGUGUGAUUUGCCCAAGUUGAAAGAGAAGGCCACCACACCAUUCCAGGUCUGCCUUUUAUGUAAUGUCUUCUGCAGUUACACUCGAUUACUGCAGAUCAGGAGCUGGUGCUACCUUUCCUCGGGCUUCUGGAUUUUCUGCUUUCAGGGAGCUUGCUGCUCUGAGCUUCGGUGCUUUCGAUUGCAGAAAGGGAGCAGCUGCUGAUAGGAUUUGUGCUGUAGUCGAGGUGGGGCCAGAGUCAGUGGACCUCAGAUACUUGGUAAUGCAUGCCAUUAACCUUCACCGUGGUGGUCACUGCCCCGGUUCUAGACUGGUGCCCCAUGGCUCUAGACUGACUGGAUGGUGCUGGCUAAGAACUAAUCCUGGCCUACCAUGGACUGUGAACUCCUUCGAUUACCAGCAGAACCAAGUUUCAGAUGCCGCUCUGUGCACCGCCUUCUAAGCACUUCAGAAAGAAUGGCUGGAAGACUGGAAUGUCUCAGGUUCUGGACCAGGGCAGCCACCAGGAGGGAAGGUUUCAGUGAUUGGAGCACUCAGGAAGAGCCAUCAUCACAGGCAACUUUAGCAGUUACCUUGCUUGGUGACUCUUUUUUUCCCUCUUCCUUUUCUUUUUUCCCCUCUUUUAACUAUUGUGAAGGUCUUUGAGACGGUAGUUGAACACCAUCCCAUCAUUGUUUCUUUGAGGUGACAUUAGCUAUUUAUUAAGAAUAUAAGGGAAGUUGGCUCUGGGAUUGCAAAAUGAAAGGCAGAAUGUUCUUCUCAAAACAUGAAGGGUUCCAAAAAAUCAUCAGGUCACAUGGUUAGGAAAGACAGACUAGAAAAAGCUGUGAGUGUGAUUUUUGUGGAUUGAACAAAGCCAGGUGAUUAAAAUAUGAUUUAUUUAUAAAGUAAAAA